UAAGGAAUAUUGGACAAUGGACGCAAGUCUGAACCAGCCAUGCCGCGUGAAGGAUGAAGGUCCUCUGGAUUGUAAACUUCUUUUAUCUGGGACGAAAACGGGAUUUUUAUCUCAAUUGACGGUACCAGAGGAAUAAGCACCGGCUAACUCCGUGCCAGCAGCCGCGGUAAUACGGAGGGUGCGAGCGUUAUCCGGAUUUACUGGGUUUAAAGGGUGCGUAGGUGGGCUUAUAAGUCAGUGGUGAAAUCUCCGAGCUUAACUUGGAAACUGCCGUUGAUACUAUAGGUCUUGAAUUAUCUGGAGGUAAGCGGAAUAUGUCAUGUAGCGGUGAAAUGCUUAGAUAUGACAUAGAACACCAAUUGCGAAGGCAGCUUACUACAUAUAAAUUGACGCUGAGGCACGAAAGCGUGGGGAUCAAACA
Molecule: ribosomal RNA, 421 nt
Filed under: uncultured bacterium
Lineage: Bacteria
Description: bacterial SSU rRNA
Rfam family: Bacterial small subunit ribosomal RNA
Source: RNAcentral